Molecule: ribosomal RNA, 108 nt
Filed under: Chinchilla lanigera (long-tailed chinchilla)
Lineage: Eukaryota; Metazoa; Chordata; Mammalia; Rodentia; Chinchillidae
Source: RNAcentral
GUCUAUAACCAUACUACUCUGUACAUGUCUAAUCUUCUCUAAUCUUAUAAGCAAAGCAGGGCCAGGCCUGGUUAGUACUUGGAUAGGAGAAAAUCAAAUUGGUUGUCU